UGUUAUUUAAUGCACGUAAUUUAGACACAAAUGAUAGAAAUGUUAGGUUUAUAUGUCAAAGAGGCCAUGUGAAAAUUUUAGUGCAAAUACGCAUGCGUGCGCGCCGUGCACAUUAAGCCACCCCACCCCCACGUAUCCGCGCGCCGGUCGGUGGGUGUUGGGCGUCAAUAAAGGUAAUCUGGUUGUCGCGCGUUCUGCAUCUCUGCACGAGCUAAAGAAGUCUCAAAGGUAAGAAAUGUAAACACAAGAGGCAGUAAUGAAAAUACUUUAUGGUCAUCUGAAUGUAUUUUCAUCUGACAAAUGAAUGCAGCUGUUGUUAUCACUGUGUGACGGCAGAGCGGUGCUGAAAAAUACGGCCUCCAUCGAGAGACUGAACGUAACACGACUGCAGCUGACUCUGCCACGAGGCUCGACAACUUCUUGCAUCAACUGUGAUCGCUGUGGCCACCAAAACAUCCAAAUGUAAGGCGGGCUACAAAGAUUUCAGGCCAAAAGAGAACGCCUCACAUGUGAUGAAGUGUCUGUAUUGGUUGGAAAAACCAGCAGCCCUCCAGUGCUUCAGCCGUCCAACCAUCAACCGUUUCAGACAUCCAUCCUCCCACCACUUCAGCCCCACAGCCGUCCACCAGUGUGCCAACUUCUGACAUUUUACUAUCCUGGGGGGGGUCAUGGCCUCUACGCUGGAUUCCAAAAAAGAGACAAAAAAACCCCCGACCUCAACCCCCACUCUUAGUCAGACAUGUUUAUUUUUUUUAUUUACAAUAAUAAAUAAUAUACUAUGUACAUUUAUUUUGUUUUACUUUUUUAUACUUAGUUUCCUUAUUUCCUAUAAUAUUUAUUAGUAGUUGUUGUUUGUUGAUGUUAGUUCUUUUUAGCCCCUUUUAUGUUAAAAUAGACGUAAAUGAUCCAGAUGCUGAUAUUCUAAUAUAUAGACAGAUUUAUGAAUGAAUUAUUCUCAACAGAAGUUCAACGCUAUUGUGGUAGCAGUUUGACUGUUUUACUGUAAUCUGUCGUGCCUCACCCACUGUCCAUCCCA
This is a non-coding RNA of Oryzias latipes (Japanese medaka), 1036 nucleotides long. The record is from RefSeq and is a predicted model, not a curated record. NCBI's taxonomy places the organism in Eukaryota, Metazoa, Chordata, Actinopteri, Beloniformes, Adrianichthyidae.